Molecule: unclassified non-coding RNA, 874 nt
Filed under: Hevea brasiliensis (rubber tree)
Lineage: Eukaryota; Viridiplantae; Streptophyta; Magnoliopsida; Malpighiales; Euphorbiaceae
Source: RNAcentral
GAUAUAUUACAGAGGAGUAUCAGCUAUUACUACUAGCUUAUACAAGAUCUGAUUAACCUAUUGAGAAACGAAAUCAAAAGAAAAUCUGCAGUUUGCGUAAACAAAAGAUUGUCAAAAGUUCUAGGCUGUUGGAAAGAAUGAAAGAAAGAAGAAACUCUCAAGUCUUCCAAGGAAUUGACAAUCUAGUUGAACUCCGUGUCCUCUUGGUUUGUUGAGCUGGACGGCAAGUAGAUGGUGUUUCUGUUUUUGUUCUACACUUUUAGGAUUUCUAAGUAUGUCCCUAUGACAGGAAACUGGAAACAACAGAACUCUCCGAGCUAAUAUUAUUUGAUCAAAAAAAUCUCUAGGCACUCGGUUCCCAGGUUCAACUCUAGCAGAAAUUUCAUUAGCUUUCUCCUAAUCUCAAUAAGCAAGAAAAGUAUGUCAUAUGAGAAUACUUCAUAUUGUCACCUGAGCAUGUCUCCAGCAGGCAUUUGCAAGCAACUCAAGGCUGGUGAUAUGCUGAAUGUGUUACCACUAGCAUUAUAAAAUGAAGGGUGUCCAAGAGGUGCUGGUCUGUCUGGAAUUUCAGGAACCUCAAUAUCUCCUUCUAACAUUUUUAGUGCAUCCAAUAUAGUUGGCCUUAAGGCCACCAUCACGUGAGCACAUAAUAUUCCAACAAGGAGAAAUCUCACCAUUAUAGCCCUUGGAUUUGCACUUACGGAAUCCUCAGUCUUUACUAGGAUGGCAUCCAAAACUUCAUUCAUCUUUCCAGCUUUUACCUUCGACCAAGCCCAAUCCGUGAUCAGAAAAGAACGAGGCGAUCCAGAAGAGAAAUCAAGGACCUUCCUUCCACACAUUAUUUCCAAAACAACAACCCCAAAACUAUAAACAU